UUACGGUCAAAUCACGCUGAAACACCGGUUCUCGUUCGAUCACCGAAGUUAAGCAUCGUAGAGCCAGGUCAGUACUUAGAUGGGGGACCGCUUGAUAACACCUGGUACUGUAAG
RNAcentral lists this ribosomal RNA (114 nucleotides) under Acanthosepion pharaonis. The record is from RNAcentral. Lineage: Eukaryota; Metazoa; Mollusca; Cephalopoda; Sepiida; Sepiidae.